RNAcentral lists this ribosomal RNA (253 nucleotides) under Roseburia intestinalis L1-82. RNAcentral describes it as "partial 16S ribosomal RNA". It matches the Rfam family "Bacterial small subunit ribosomal RNA", at positions 524 to 776 of the family's 1533-position model. Lineage: Bacteria; Bacillati; Bacillota; Clostridia; Lachnospirales; Lachnospiraceae. The record is from RNAcentral.
UACGUAUGGUGCAAGCGUUAUCCGGAUUUACUGGGUGUAAAGGGAGCGCAGGCGGUACGGCAAGUCUGAUGUGAAAGCCCGGGGCUCAACCCCGGUACUGCAUUGGAAACUGUCGGACUAGAGUGUCGGAGGGGUAAGUGGAAUUCCUAGUGUAGCGGUGAAAUGCGUAGAUAUUAGGAGGAACACCAGUGGCGAAGGCGGCUUACUGGACGAUUACUAACGCUGAGGCUCGAAAGCGUGGGGAGCAAACAGG